Hippocampus comes (tiger tail seahorse) is the source of this 277-nucleotide long non-coding RNA. RefSeq lists it as uncharacterized. The transcript is spliced from 3 exons. The record is from RefSeq and is a predicted model, not a curated record. Lineage: Eukaryota; Metazoa; Chordata; Actinopteri; Syngnathiformes; Syngnathidae.
GUGUUGGUUUAUUUGCUUUAGGAUAAAGAGUUCUAUUGUUGGCCAAUCAGAGAGUCUCUCAAGACCAUGCUUUCUUGGGGGUGGAGUAUCAACAGAAUACGAGAGAGUGACCCUGCCAGCAAAUCUAGGAGGAUAUCGCUUGCCAGCCAGCUGUCCUUCGAAGGAGCUCAGUCUUUCAAUCCGAGACCCAUUGAUAUGAGCAAUGUUACUCUGUCCAGAGACACACAGUCAAUGGCGGAACUGCUUGCAGAGAACUAUCACAACAUCUGGGCCAGGA